UAGGGAAUCUUCGGCAAUGGACGAAAGUCUGACCGAGCAACGCCGCGUGAGUGAAGAAGGUUUUCGGAUCGUAAAACUCUGUUGUUAGAGAAGAACAAGGACGUUAGUAACUGAACGUCCCCUGACGGUAUCUAACCAGAAAGCCACGGCUAACUACGUGCCAGCAGCCGCGGUACUACGUAGGUGGCAAGCGUUGUCCGGAUUUAUUGGGCGUAAAGCGAGCGCAGGCGGUUUCUUAAGUCUGAUGUGAAAGCCCCCGGCUCAAGCGGGGAGGGUCAUUGGAAACUGGGAGACUUGAGUGCAGAAGAGGGGAGUGGAAUUCCAUGUGUAGCGGUGAAAUGCGUAGAUAUAUGGAGGAACACCAGUGGCGAAGGCGGCUCUCUGGUCUGUAACUGACGCUGAGGCUCGAAAGCGUGGGGAGCAAACAGG
RNAcentral lists this ribosomal RNA (429 nucleotides) under Gemmatimonadota bacterium. Its description in RNAcentral is "Gemmatimonadetes bacterium partial 16S ribosomal RNA". It matches the Rfam family "Bacterial small subunit ribosomal RNA", at positions 355 to 776 of the family's 1533-position model. The record is from RNAcentral. Lineage: Bacteria; Pseudomonadati; Gemmatimonadota.